GGAGAAAGAAAAUGUGGUACAUAUACACCACAGAAUACUAUGCAGCCAUAAAAAACAGAGUUUGUGUCCUUUGUAGGGACUUGGAUGAAUCUGGAAACCAUCAUUCUCAGCAAACUGACCCAAGAACAGAAAGCCAAGCACCAUAUAUUCUCACUCAUAGAAAGGUAGAAUCCAGGCACAGAUAUGGACAAGCUGAGCUUGAGAGAAACUGGAGUUUGGUGACUGGAGUUUGCAUCUGCAGAGAUGUAACCAUACCAGAUCAAUCUGGAUUAACUUUGGUGCAACGAAGUUGUGAGUUGUGUUUCAGUUGCUGUGGACCCCCAGGUUGAAGGUCAAGUAACUUCAACAUGCCUAGUUGAACCAAGUGUGAGACCACAGGGAGGAAGCAAGUAUUCAGACUGAGGAGUGGGGACUGAAUUAAGCAGCAGACACUGCAUGGCAAGGUCCAGGAUCAGAUCAGAUGGAGCUCUAGUGCAACCCCAUGACAAGAUCCAGGUAGAUUAUCACCUCCCAGCAUCACCUCGUUGCAUGAUCCAGUCAGGUCACACCUCAUCACCCUAUGCUUAUAAGACAUGACCUGAACUCCAGCUUGGGGAGACAGAUUUGAAUGCUUCUUUCUGUCACCUUACUAGUUGAAUUGCAAUAAAGCUUUUCUUUUCUCAAAAGCUUGUGCCAUGGUAUUGGCUUCUACAUGCAUGAGCCAGUGAGAUCAUUGAUUGCUUGGAAACAGAGACUUGUAAACACUGCUUGUAAAACAGUGUAGUGAAAGCAUAAUUCCAAUGGCCCAGAAGUCUGUGUUUGGGUUCACAUCAGGUUUUUGGCUGAGAGCAGGUCAUGUGUUUGGAGAGCAAGGCUCUACCAUGCCUAAGAGAGACAACUGCCGUCGAUCAAAGAGAAGAAUGGAGAACUACAGGGUGAGACAGUGCAAACAUGUUAACGUUCCUACCAGUGAGGGUGCAGAAACAUCACUGUGAACAUUUGCCACUCAGCAGAGACCUCAAAUGUACACAGCUUCCAAUGUAGGACGACCUCCUGCAUUGAAAGCUAUGACCAAGGAUAUGAGACAAAACCAAAAAAAUCCCUAAAAUCAAGCCUCAAAAGGUCAAGAGGAUUUACUAAUAACUGCCUGCCAAAGAAAGAAGAAAAAAUAUAUAACACCCUUUAAAGGAAAAUAGAAUAAUCUGGAGGUGGAGAAACCCUAAAUGGUUAUAUACCAACCAACAAAGCUUGGAAAUAUGAAAAGAGAAAACGGACGGAACAAAACGGACAAAUAAAUCCAAAACAUAGGUGCAAUUGUUUUAAAUUAUUAACAUAUCAUAAAGUACACAGAAUUUAGGUAUUCAGUUGAAUGAGCUUUGAUAAUUAUAUUACCCACCCAUGUGACUGCCACACACACACAGAUCCGAAAUAUGGACCAUAUCUGUCACCCUCAAAAUAUCUUAAUGUCCUUUUCCAAUCAAAUAACUACCCCAAACUCAGGCAACUACUUUCUGAUCUCUUUACUACAGAUCAUUUUUAUAUCUUAUUGGACUUCAUGUAAAUAGAAUCAUACAAUAUGUACUCUUUUUUGCAUAACAUACUGUUUUUAAGAUUUAAAUGUUUUUGUACCUAUCUGUCAUUCCUUACUUUUAUUGCUUUACAGUUUUCCAUGUAUGAAUAUGUCAUAAUUUGUUUGCCUGUUCUCCUUUUAAUAUACAUUUGGGUUGUAUCCAGUUUUUGCCUAUUUUAAACAAGCCUGCUAUAAACAGUCUUUCACAAAAAAAAAAAAAAAAAUCUGUUUAUGAGGAAACAUAUGUAUAUGUAGAAAAUACAACAGAAACAAAGAAGUCUUGCUGUCUGUGCUAUAGGAAAUGGCUCUAAAAAUGUUGCCCUAACAGAUCAACCUUAUCCCUUACUUGAUCAGUUGUUGCUCUCCUGUGUUCUUCCUUGGAAUUAGUCCCAAUAGACAGAAAAGAGGAGCCUGUAACCAGCACCAACUUCCCUAUCCCACACUUACCCUGAUCAGAAUGUAUUGAUGAAAUUUUCCCCACUCCAUUUUUUCCCAAUUACAUCACUUGGUCAGUAAAUAUUCCCUUUGUAGCCCAAAAGUCUGAAUGAAUGUUUUUCCAGGAGUUUUAGGGUUUGAAAGCCUGGAUUCAUAUUCAAAUAUGUUAUGUGGGAUGCAUUAUCCCUUGAUCAGUACGGAUCACUAUAAUCACUCUGGAUAGUGAUCAAGGAAUAAUGCAUCCCACAUAACAUAUAACUAUGCAUAUGUUUUGUGAUGGUCACAUGAUCGCUAUCCAUAAUUUCUGUGAUGAUGUAACUAAGGAUAGCAAUUCACUACCAUAUUAUGCAAAUUGAUUACUUGACUCAGAGGUUAUGCAGGAAGGCUGGCAGAAAGCAAGAGUAUCUCCCACUUUUAUGUGAUUUAUAGCCUGGCAUUCAUGUAAGACUUUCUGCUUUGAAAUACCUUUAAAAGUCACUGAUGUAAACAUAAAAACAUUCAUGGAGGAAGCACACAACACACUUUCAGUAGCAUGGCAGACAUUUUAUGUUUAAAAGUUAGUUUUUUAAAGCCAUUUUCUGGCACUCUCUCCUAACAUAAACUCUCUCCAAAACACCCAUAAACAAAGAUCUAUUUAGAAGUCAUGGAUUUUCACUAAAUACUAAGCUUCUUAGGUUGGAUUUGCCUCCUAUAUUUGACAUCUGUAAGACUAAAUUUCUCUGUUGCAUGACUUCUUUUUGCUGCCCAUAGUGGUAGUAAUGUUGUGAUGGUCGUACAACUGACCUCCUUAAGAACAAUACCAGGUAUCAAUAAUCUACAGGUUUGAAGAGAAAAAAGGAAAGAUAGCAACAAUAUCCUAUCAUUCAAGGACCCUCAUCGUCUCACUGGAAUUUGAGAAAUGAUUCAGAAGCACUCAUCAAUAUAUCACUUCCAGGUAAAAUGGAAAAUUAAAAAAAAAAACAAUUUUGGCCACAAAUGAACAUUUUUCUUUCUACUUUCUGCCACCCUUGACCAUUUCUUUUGUGUCAUCCUGUGAUAAAUUCCUGUUUUCUUAUUUCUCUUUCUUUUUUUUUUUUUUUUGAGAUGGAGUCUUGCUCUGUCAUCAGGCUAGAGUGCAGUGGGGCAAUCUUGGCUCACUGCAACCUCCACCUCCCGAGUUCAAGCAAUUCACCUGCCUCAGCCUCCUGAGUAGCUGGGA
Molecule: long non-coding RNA, 3182 nt
Filed under: Callithrix jacchus (white-tufted-ear marmoset)
Lineage: Eukaryota; Metazoa; Chordata; Mammalia; Primates; Cebidae
Description: lncRNA (ENSCJAG00000072094.1)
Source: RNAcentral